UGGGGAAUUUUCCGCAAUGGGCGAAAGCCUGACGGAGUGACGCCGCGUGGGGGACGAAGGCCUUCGGGUCGUAAACCCCUGUCAGAGGGAAAGAAGGGUCGGCGCGUGAAUAGCGCGUCGAUUUGACGGUACCUUCAGAGGAAGCCCCGGCCAACUCUGUGCCAGCAGCCGCGGUAAGACAGAGGGGGCAAGCGUUGCUCGGAAUCACUGGGCGUAAAGGGCGCGUAGGCGGGAUGGCAAGUCGGUCGUGAAAUCCCUGGGCUCAACUCAGGGGGGUCGGCCGAUACUGCCGUUCUUGAGGGAUGCAGAGGAGACUGGAAUUCCCGGUGUAGCGGUGAAAUGUGUAGAGAUCGGGAGGAACACCGGUGGCGAAGGCGGGUCUCUGGGCAUUCCCUGACGCUGAGGCGCGAAAGCGUGGGGAGCAA
RNAcentral lists this ribosomal RNA (425 nucleotides) under uncultured bacterium. Its description in RNAcentral is "bacterial SSU rRNA". It matches the Rfam family "Bacterial small subunit ribosomal RNA", at positions 355 to 771 of the family's 1533-position model. The record is from RNAcentral.